UUUUUUUUCUCAAAUAGUCUUUAUAUCAUCAAAAUUUAUACUCAAAAAGCAUAUUGAUGCAGUUUUUUCAAAAGGUAAGUUUAAUUUAGAUAAACAAUAUGGCUUUACAUUUAUCUGUAGUGCACUGUACCACACCGAAUUUUGGGCAAUAAUACAACUCGGGUACAGUCUAAUAAGGACCGGGUACGUUUAAGUAUAUUAACCUUACCCGAGGUACAUGCAAGUAUGCUUAAUGAUACCAGGGGUACAUGUAAGUAGUACCCAAGCUGUGAAUAACCAAUCGAGCGUGAGUAAAGUAGAUUGUACCUUAUGUCUUUAAUAAUUGCAGAACAAUUACCUUAUUUAUUUCUAUAUUGUUUCCAUUUGAUUACAAUUUAUUUAUUUGUCAAAUUCAAUUCUGCAGUGCUAUAAAUAUGCACCCCCAUCCCAAAAAUUUAUUUCGUGCAUAUUGAUGGGGCUUUUUUAUUUAUUUACUCCUUUUCUGCAUUCCUCCCUUUUGUGUUGGUAAUGUGAACAUGAAAUGAUGAGCACUUUCAUGUUAAUGAAUAACUUUUAUUUUUUUUAUAGAUUUUGGCAUAUUGCAUAUUGCCAAGGGAGAUGUUUACUGAGGAUUCCAUGCCAUUAAUAUGCAGGCUGUUGCUGAUGCCAGCAUGAGCAAUAUCUGAGCACCAAUGAUGAGGGUCAUCUGCUGGGAGAUAGUGGGUAUCCGUUAAGGACUAACCUGAUGACCCCUUAACCUCAUCCCUCCCAUGCUGCGGAACAGGCCUACAAUGACCAUCUAUGUAGAGGAUAUCUGCAUGCCACUGGUGGAUGUUGGCCUUUCAAGUCCAAUAAGUGCUGUGAAAUAUCAACUGUGUACAUGCCCCUGCAUAACCUGUGUCUGGAUUCAAACGUUCCACUGAUAGAGGAAUUGGUUGGAAAUGAGAUGGAACCGGAAGUUAUGAACAACACACCAGUACAUCGAGCAGCAUGUGAUAAGAGGCAGCAGCUGAUCAAACUGUUUCAUAAAAUGUGUUAAAAAUUUAUAGUUAUAAAUGUUAUAAAGUGAUAGAUGGCUCGAGUCUUCUCUGAAUAGGCAGAGCUACACUACUCAGCCAAAUGGCGUAAAGUUGUGUCAUAGCUGAUUUGGAAGGAUUGGUAUUCCUGGUCGUCUAGACACAAUAGUUACAACAGCUGAUGUUUGCAUGUUUUAUAAUUGUGUAUGCAUAAUUUGUCUAAUAUUUACUUCAAGGUUAUAGGUUUGUGAAAGAAAAAAAUGUCAAUGUUCUGAGGACCAAUAAAAAAAAUAAUGUGUUAGGUAUUACCAAGUGCUUGAUUUAAUAUUUAUUUUAAAGGGAACUUUUCCUAAAUUUUGGCAGAUAUUCAAGUUUUUCAUUAAACGCUUUUAUAUUGAUACAUGUAAACACUGGAUCUAAAAAGCUCCAGUAAAAAAAGAAUACAAUUAAAGAAAGAUAAAAAGUAACUCCUACAGGGCUCAAACCACUGACCCCUGAAGUAAAAGCCUCACACUAAGACCACUUGUCCGUCCAUGUUGAUACAAUGAGUGAUGUAUUUUACACUUUAUAUAAGCAAUCCUCAUCUUGCAUAUAAUGGAUAUUUUAGAGCAUGGUAAAUGUUCAGUAUUACUGUUUCCUCACAAAUAUCAUAACUACAACAAAUGUUUGCGAAUCUUAAACUUAUUUUUUUUAAUUUAGUAAAUUUACCAAAACUGGAAAAGGUCCCUUGAAUAUUGAACAGUUAUCUGAGCUCCAGAAAAGAUCAUAUACUCAAGGUACUUUUCCCCAUUAACAAUUAUUCAAGUGAUAUUUUACCCACUGACUUUCGCUCUAAAAGGUGUUCUCUGUAAUGAACAUUCUCAAAGCCACAUUAAAACAAGGGCUGUUAGUAAAACAUGCAUGCCCCCCAUUUGGGCUGUCAGUUGUAGUGGCAGUCAUUGUGUGAAUACGUUUUUUGUCACUGUGAACUUGACCUUUGACUUAGUGACUUGAAAAUCAAUAGGAGUCAUCUGCCAGACAUGAUCAAUGUACCUAUGAAGUUUCAUAAUCCAAGCUGUUGGCAUUCUUGAGUUACCAUCCGGAAACCAUUUUACUAUUUUGAGUCACCGUGACCUCGACAUUUGACCUAGUGACCUGAAAAUCAAUAGGGGUCAUCUGCAAGUCAUGAUCAAUGUACUUAUGAAGUUUCAUGAUCCUAGGCGUAAGCAUUCUUAAUUCAUCAUCUGGAAAUCAUUUUACUGUUUCAACUCACUGUGACCUUGACCUUUGACUUAGUGACCUGACAAUCAAUAGGGAUCAUCUGCCAGUCAUGAUUAAUCUACCUAUGAAGUUUCAUGAUCCUAUGUCCUAAGAUUUCUUGAGUUAUCUAUCAUCCGGAAACCAUCUGGUGGACAGACCGACCAAGCAAAACAAUAUACCCCCUCUUCUUUGAAAGGGGGCAUAAAAAGUGGGCUUGUAAAUGUAACGGUACUUUAUAAUAAUAAGUGUGCUGUCUAUAAAUAUGGAUAUUAUUGUCAUAAAAAAAUAGAAGUUUUCCAAUAUAUUAGAUUGUUUCCGAAUGUAUUUACUAAACUUUACCCCUUUAUGAGUCUCUGUUCAAUUAUUUAGUCAUCUACCGUUAAAAUGUUGUUUACCUGUGCAUUUUUUUGUAUUUUUAUUGAAAUGUUUAUGAUAAUAAUGUUUAUAGUAUUUGAUAACAGUUGCUAUUACACUAGUUUUCAAUGAAUAAAACACAAA
Dreissena polymorpha is the source of this 2732-nucleotide long non-coding RNA. RefSeq lists it as uncharacterized. The record is from RefSeq and is a predicted model, not a curated record. Lineage: Eukaryota; Metazoa; Mollusca; Bivalvia; Myida; Dreissenidae. The transcript is spliced from 4 exons.